GGUACGAUGCGCCUGGUCCACGGUCGAAAGAUCGCGCGUAUCGGAGCGUAUCUGCCAUCCUUCUAGUUAACUGGAUACACUUAACUGUGUGGUCAGCGAUCUAGAUCUUUUACUUUGAAAAAAUUAGAGUGUUUAAAGCAGGCUCGCGCUGUGAAUACAUUAGCAUGGAAUAAUAAUUUAGGACUUUGCUCCUAUUUUAUUGGUUUCUAGGGGUAAAGUA
This 220-nucleotide ribosomal RNA is filed under the name uncultured fungus. Its description in RNAcentral is "partial small subunit ribosomal RNA". The stretch from base 67 to 220 matches the Rfam family "Eukaryotic small subunit ribosomal RNA", at positions 709 to 864 of the family's 1831-position model. Lineage: Eukaryota; Fungi. The record is from RNAcentral.